UUAAGCGACUAAGCGUACACGGUGGAUGCCCUGGCAGUCAGAGGCGAUGAAGGACGUGCUAAUCUGCGAUAAGCGUCGGUAAGGUGAUAUGAACCGUUAUAACCGGCGAUUUCCGAAUGGGGAAACCCAGUGUGAUUCGUCACACUAUCAUUAACUGAAUUCAUAGGUUAAUGAGGCGAACCGGGGGAACUGAAACAUCUAAGUACCCCGAGGAAAAGAAAUCAACCGAGAUUCCCCCAGUAGCGGCGAGCGAACGGGGAGGAGCCCAGAGCCUGAAUCAGUGUGUGUGUUAGUGGAAGCGUCUGGAAAGGCGCGCGAUACAGGGUGACAGCCCCGUACACAAAAAUGCACAUGCUGUGAGCUCGAUGAGUAGGGCGGGACACGUGGUAUCCUGUCUGAAUAUGGGGGGACCAUCCUCCAAGGCUAAAUACUCCUGACUGACCGAUAGUGAACCAGUACCGUGAGGGAAAGGCGAAAAGAACCCCGGCGAGGGGAGUGAAAAAGAACCUGAAACCGUGUACGUACAAGCAGUGGGAGCCUCUUUAUGGGGUGACUGCGUACCUUUUGUAUAAUGGGUCAGCGACUUAUAUUCUGUAGCAAGGUUAACCGAAUAGGGGAGCCGAAGGGAAACCGAGUCUUAACUGGGCGUUAAGUUGCAGGGUAUAGACCCGAAACCCGGUGAUCUAGCCAUGGGCAGGUUGAAGGUUGGGUAACACUAACUGGAGGACCGAACCGACUAAUGUUGAAAAAUUAGCGGAUGACUUGUGGCUGGGGGUGAAAGGCCAAUCAAACCGGGAGAUAGCUGGUUCUCCCCGAAAGCUAUUUAGGUAGCGCCUCGUGAAUUCAUCUCCGGGGGUAGAGCACUGUUUCGGCAAGGGGGUCAUCCCGACUUACCAACCCGAUGCAAACUGCGAAUACCGGAGAAUGUUAUCACGGGAGACACACGGCGGGUGCUAACGUCCGUCGUGAAGAGGGAAACAACCCAGACCGCCAGCUAAGGUCCCAAAGUCAUGGUUAAGUGGGAAACGAUGUGGGAAGGCCCAGACAGCCAGGAUGUUGGCUUAGAAGCAGCCAUCAUUUAAAGAAAGCGUAAUAGCUCACUGGUCGAGUCGGCCUGCGCGGAAGAUGUAACGGGGCUAAACCAUGCACCGAAGCUGCGGCAGCGACGCUUAUGCGUUGUUGGGUAGGGGAGCGUUCUGUAAGCCUGCGAAGGUGUACUGUGAGGUAUGCUGGAGGUAUCAGAAGUGCGAAUGCUGACAUAAGUAACGAUAAAGCGGGUGAAAAGCCCGCUCGCCGGAAGACCAAGGGUUCCUGUCCAACGUUAAUCGGGGCAGGGUGAGUCGACCCCUAAGGCGAGGCCGAAAGGCGUAGUCGAUGGGAAACAGGUUAAUAUUCCUGUACUUGGUGUUACUGCGAAGGGGGGACGGAGAAGGCUAUGUUGGCCGGGCGACGGUUGUCCCGGUUUAAGCGUGUAGGCUGGUUUUCCAGGCAAAUCCGGAAAAUCAAGGCUGAGGCGUGAUGACGAGGCACUACGGUGCUGAAGUAACAAAUGCCCUGCUUCCAGGAAAAGCCUCUAAGCAUCAGGUAACAUCAAAUCGUACCCCAAACCGACACAGGUGGUCAGGUAGAGAAUACCAAGGCGCUUGAGAGAACUCGGGUGAAGGAACUAGGCAAAAUGGUGCCGUAACUUCGGGAGAAGGCACGCUGAUAUGUAGGUGAAGCGACUUGCUCGUGGAGCUGAAAUCAGUCGAAGAUACCAGCUGGCUGCAACUGUUUAUUAAAAACACAGCACUGUGCAAACACGAAAGUGGACGUAUACGGUGUGACGCCUGCCCGGUGCCGGAAGGUUAAUUGAUGGGGUUAGCGGUAACGCGAAGCUCUUGAUCGAAGCCCCGGUAAACGGCGGCCGUAACUAUAACGGUCCUAAGGUAGCGAAAUUCCUUGUCGGGUAAGUUCCGACCUGCACGAAUGGCGUAAUGAUGGCCAGGCUGUCUCCACCCGAGACUCAGUGAAAUUGAACUCGCUGUGAAGAUGCAGUGUACCCGCGGCAAGACGGAAAGACCCCGUGAACCUUUACUAUAGCUUGACACUGAACAUUGAGCCUUGAUGUGUAGGAUAGGUGGGAGGCUUUGAAGUGUGGACGCCAGUCUGCAUGGAGCCGACCUUGAAAUACCACCCUUUAAUGUUUGAUGUUCUAACGUUGGCCCCUAAUCGGGGUUGCGGACAGUGUCUGGUGGGUAGUUUGACUGGGGCGGUCUCCUCCUAAAGAGUAACGGAGGAGCACGAAGGUUGGCUAAUCCUGGUCGGACAUCAGGAGGUUAGUGCAAUGGCAUAAGCCAGCUUGACUGCGAGCGUGACGGCGCGAGCAGGUGCGAAAGCAGGUCAUAGUGAUCCGGUGGUUCUGAAUGGAAGGGCCAUCGCUCAACGGAUAAAAGGUACUCCGGGGAUAACAGGCUGAUACCGCCCAAGAGUUCAUAUCGACGGCGGUGUUUGGCACCUCGAUGUCGGCUCAUCACAUCCUGGGGCUGAAGUAGGUCCCAAGGGUAUGGCUGUUCGCCAUUUAAAGUGGUACGCGAGCUGGGUUUAGAACGUCGUGAGACAGUUCGGUCCCUAUCUGCCGUGGGCGCUGGAGAACUGAGGGGGGCUGCUCCUAGUACGAGAGGACCGGAGUGGACGCAUCACUGGUGUUCGGGUUGUCAUGCCAAUGGCACUGCCCGGUAGCUAAAUGCGGAAGAGAUAAGUGCUGAAAGCAUCUAAGCACGAAACUUGCCCCGAGAUGAGUUCUCCCUGACUCCUUGAGAGUCCUGAAGGAACGUUGAAGACGACGACGUUGAUAGGCCGGGUGUGUAAGCGCAGCGAUGCGUUGAGCUAACCGGUACUAAUGAACCGUGAGGCUUAACCUU
This 2903-nucleotide ribosomal RNA is filed under the name Escherichia coli. RNAcentral describes it as "23S ribosomal RNA". It matches the Rfam family "Bacterial large subunit ribosomal RNA". RNAcentral also lists the same sequence under 2 other names. The record is from RNAcentral. Lineage: Bacteria; Pseudomonadati; Pseudomonadota; Gammaproteobacteria; Enterobacterales; Enterobacteriaceae.